Molecule: ribosomal RNA, 359 nt
Filed under: uncultured bacterium
Lineage: Bacteria
Description: partial 16S ribosomal RNA
Rfam family: Bacterial small subunit ribosomal RNA
Source: RNAcentral
CCUACGGGGGGCAGCAGUAGGGAAUUUUCGUCAAUGGGCGCAAGCCUGAACGAGCAAUGCCGCGUGAACGAGGAAGGUCUUCGGAUCGUAAAGUUCUGUUGAAGGGGAAAAAGAGCGGCGAGAGGAAAUGGUCUCCGAUUGAUAUUACCCUUCGAGGAAGUCACGGCUAACUACGUGCCAGCAGCCGCGGUAAUACGUAAGUGGCGAGCGUUAUCCGGAAUGAUUGGGCGUAAAGGGUGCGUAGGCGGCCUGCUAAGUCUGGAGUGAAAGGUGCCGGCUUAACCGGUACAGGCUCGGGAAACUGGCGGGCUAGGUGGCAGGAGAGGGCGGAGGAAAUCCAUGUGGAGCGGGAAAAUGGG